RNAcentral lists this ribosomal RNA (253 nucleotides) under uncultured bacterium. RNAcentral describes it as "partial 16S ribosomal RNA". It matches the Rfam family "Bacterial small subunit ribosomal RNA", at positions 524 to 776 of the family's 1533-position model. The record is from RNAcentral.
UACGUAGGUGGCAAGCGUUAUCCGGAUUUAUUGGGCGUAAAGGGAACGCAGGCGGUCUUUUAAGUCUGAUGUGAAAGCCUUCGGCUUAACCGGAGUAGUGCAUUGGAAACUGGGAGACUUGAGUGCAGAAGAGGAGAGUGGAACUCCAUGUGUAGCGGUGAAAUGCGUAGAUAUAUGGAGGAACACCGGUGGCGAAAGCGGCUCUCUGGCCUGUGACUGACACUGAGGCUCGAAAGCGUGGGGAGCAAACAGG